This 1480-nucleotide long non-coding RNA is filed under the name Homo sapiens (human). RNAcentral's name for it is "HSALNT0240387". The record is from RNAcentral. Lineage: Eukaryota; Metazoa; Chordata; Mammalia; Primates; Hominidae.
AAACCUCCCCAGCAUUAAGGCAAGAAAGGUGUCUCUGUUUUUUCCGAAGUGUGCCUGCUUGACUCCUUUGAUUUUUCUCUGGGAUUCUUCAUCCUCCAUCAAGUUGAUCGAUCCCUCUGGAUCUUGGUCAGUUUCCUGACAUCUCUAUGAAGUUCAGUGACCCAGACUGAGUCCACGUCUCAAAUAAGAGUGAAUUCUCAAUAAAUGUUAACUGAACUAUGUAACGGAACUGUUACCAGAAAGGGGUCCCGAUCCAGACACCAAGAGAGGGUUCUUGGAUCUCACGCAAGAAAGAAUUCAGGGGAACAACAAUAGCAGAGGCCUUUGUUGCCCUCUCCGCGAAACUGCCCAGUAACCUGGCAUUAGACGGGUCCCUGGCUGACCUGAUAAAGAAGCUCCCUGUACAAACAUCAAUUAAUGCAGGCAGCACAUCAAAGCAUUGUGGAGACAUGUCUGUGCCUCCCUCCAGACCAUCAAUUCUCAACUCAGGCUGCUCGUUAGACAUACCUGAGGAGCUUUCGAAAGAAACCAGUGCCUAGACCCCAUGCACAGAGAUUUUAAUGUAAUUGGUCCAGAUGAAGCCCCAGCAUAACUAAUCUGUAAAAGCUCCCCAAGUGAUUUGAAUGUGCAGGGUGUUUUGAGAACCCUGCCAUAGACCCAGCACCUUAAGAACCCUGUCUAUGUCCCCUUCAACUAGCACAUAAGGCUCACAGGAAAUCCUCACUGAAUGAAUAAACAAAUAAAUGGAUGGCAGAGAAUUUCUGCUCCAAUUCUGCAGCCCCUAGUGGGCAGUGUGCACUGUCCUAAGUGUGGUUCCUCCUUCCCCCCAGAUCUCCCUCCUUCACCGAGUUUGCACUCAGACUCCCUUAAUUAACCACAUCUGCAGCUCCAGCUGGGCUCCUGCUUCUCCCACAGCUGCUGUGCUGGACACCCUAGUUCCACUCUUUUCCUGGAAGCUGCCCUAGUCUUAGAAGGAAAUAACCCUCCAUCAACAGCCAGGCUCAAUUCUUGUGCCUCAGUUAAAGCCCCUGCCCAGUGUGAGAGAGGAACAGGGGGAAAGGGAGGAUUGCUCAGCUUUCUGUCCCACAUUCAGCUACAGUCCCGAAAUGGACACCAAGUAGCCAGCAGCAGAGUGUCCGGCCCUCAGAGAAAAGGUUUGCUUGUUGCUUCUCCUGCCUAAGUGUAGAAAGUUAUCUGAUUCCUUAGACAAAUGUGAGUCUGCAAAAUUCCCCUGUUGACAUCACAGGAAUAAGUCUGUGGUGAGUACAUCCUCAGAGAUGAUAUCAUCUGGCAUCCUACCAUCUGGUCUGGUCCCCAUCAUGCUUCUGAAACUGCUUGUUCAAAGGUAACCUACAGGGCCAGCCUCACAGGCAUGCGGCUGACGAGGUCCCACAAGACCUCAUGCCCUGUGCUCACAAGAGCUCUGCACUUGGUUUUACACUCUGCUGCUGUCGUCAUCUUAAAAUUCUUUUUUAUUUUU